RNAcentral lists this ribosomal RNA (437 nucleotides) under uncultured bacterium. RNAcentral describes it as "partial 16S ribosomal RNA". It matches the Rfam family "Bacterial small subunit ribosomal RNA", at positions 29 to 507 of the family's 1533-position model. The record is from RNAcentral.
AGCGAACGCUGGCGGCAGGCUUAACACAUGCAAGUCGAGCGGGCAUCCUUGUGGUGUUAGCGGCAGACGGGUGAGUAACGCGUGGGAACGUGCCCUUCGGUUCGGAAUAACUCAGGGAAACUUGAGCUAAUACCGGAUACGUGCGAGAGCAGAAAGGUUUAUCUGCCGAAGGAUCGGCCCGCGUCUGAUUAGCUAGUUGGUGAGGUUAUGGCUCACCAAGGCGACGAUCAGUAGCUGGUCUGAGAGGAUGAUCAGCCACACUGGGACUGAGACACGGCCCAGACUCCUACGGGAGGCAGCAGUGGGGAAUAUUGGACAAUGGGGGCAACCCUGAUCCAGCCAUGCCGCGUGAGUGAUGACGGCCUUAGGGUUGUAAAGCUCUUUUCUUCGGGACGAUAAUGACGGUACCGGAGGAAUAAGCCCCGGCUAACUUCGUG